This 376-nucleotide ribosomal RNA is filed under the name uncultured Gammaproteobacteria bacterium. RNAcentral's name for it is "bacterial SSU rRNA". It matches the Rfam family "Bacterial small subunit ribosomal RNA", at positions 521 to 896 of the family's 1533-position model. Lineage: Bacteria; Pseudomonadati; Pseudomonadota; Gammaproteobacteria. The record is from RNAcentral.
UAAUACUUAGGGUGCAAGCGUUAAUCGGAAUUACUGGGCGUAAAGCGCGCGUAGGCGGUCUGGUCAGUCAGAUGUGAAAGCCCCGGGCUUAACCUGGGAACUGCGUUUGAAACUGCCAGACUAGAGUGUGGUAGAGGGAAGUGGAAUUCCGUGUGGAGCGGUGAAAUGCGUAGAGAUGCGGAGGAACACCAGUGGCGAAGGCGACUUCCUGGACCAACACUGACGCUCAGGUGCGAAAGCGUGGGGAGCAAACAGGAUUAGAUACCCUGGUAGUCCACGCCGUAAACGAUGUCUACUAGCCGUUGGGGAGCUUGUCUCCAUAGUGGCGUAGCUAACGCAAUAAGUAGACCGCCUGGGGAGUACGGUCGCAAGACUA